UUUUUGGGAUUUUCAAAGAAAUUUGUUGAAAUUUUUUAUUAAAUCUUUUUGUUCCUUUAUUUUCUAUGGGAAUAAAUUAGUUUCAUUAGAAAAUUAUCUUAUUAUAAUAAUAACUAUUUAUUUAUUUGUUUGAUGAUUAGUUUUUCUUGAACUUUUAAGGGGAUUUGUUCUACAUAUAAUCUAGAUGUAGAAUCCAGCUGUGAGGAUAUCAGAUUGGAUCAUUGAGGCUAUAGUCAUAUGUUUUACUACAAUUCUGUGCAUUUGGUUACGCUAAGCUAGAAAGACUUUUCAACUAUGUCACUUCACUGUGUCAUGCUCUGAUGUUCUAUUUGAUCUUUUCCUUCAUUGUUGCUAGGUCUGUGCUACAUUCUACUAGGAAGUUGGUUCUUCUCUUUACUUUUAUUUAUGUAACUGAGCUAUAGAGUGAUGGAUGUUAAAUGAUCUAAUGGUUCUCUUUACUUUUAUUUAUGUAACUGAGCUAUAGAGUGAUGGAUGUUAAAUGAUCUAAUGGUUGGAUGAAUGAAGUACAAAUGGAAGCUUCAAAUAAAUGCUGUGUUGUGCCUUCAGUUUCAAGAUUUUAGAAUUCUGGGAAGAUUUAUCAGAUUCUGAAUGUCCCCAUUUUCUUGAAAAACUCCGGUAGAACACCAUGAAGUUUAGAUAUUUGAAGAAAUGAACCAGUCUCGGGUACUUUCUCAGUUAGUUUUGUUAGAUGAUCAGAAUCUAAUAGAUAUCUGAUCUUAUUAUUUAGAAGUGCUCCUCAUUUGUUCACACAUCUUUUACCUUCUGAGGUUAGUGCAAUGAUCUUACAUAGCCAUCGGAGAUUACCUGAUGGAUAUCAUUCUACUUGUUACUAUUAGCAUUUCUUGUCUGUGGACCCUUGUCCCUGUUUAGUUCAUGAAGUUUUGAUGAAGACUGCAUUAAAUGCUCCUAUCAUUCCAAGAUAGAUCUGCAAGAGUUCCGAGAUUGUGGUAGGUGACUUGUUCACUAAAUGUUCUUCAUAAUUGGAUUUAACAGCUUGACAUUGUUAACAACUAUUCAUGGGUAUUCUGAGAUGGUGUAGUUGUGAGGUGUCUACAGAGGCUGAACUAGCGAAACUUGGUUGCAGGAUCCUAGUGGUUCUACGCUGGUUAAUUCAAUGAGAUCCCUUUUCCUUUUCUUAUAAGGUGUUGGUAGAGGUGGUGUGGGCUAGCUGAGGAUGACGUCUUCCAAGGGUGACAACUGAAAGUUUCUCUCUCUCUCUCUCUCUCUGCUUUGACUGAUCUUGUUUGCAAUAUAAUGGUUCUUCAUUUUGCCUUUGUUCAAGAUAUACAACCCAGUUUGAUUGUUUUAAAAAAAGAUGCUUAUGGAAGGCAGCACUGGAUAUUUAUGGUUCUUAAGGAUUUAAAAUGAGGGCAGAUUGGGCUUCUUUUGCUGGUGGCAUAUUCUAUUGUUAAUAGUGUGAUGGACUCUGCAUCUCUUCCUUGCACAAUUGAAUUUGCAACUGUCUGUAAGGCUUUACAUUGUGAUAUUUGUGAGUUGAAAUUCCUCGAUGGAUGGAUUCUGUUCGGCGGUUUUGAUUAUAUUCUUGGAAUACUUCUGUUUUGGUUGAUUCCUGAUUUCUCCACCUUUCAAGGUAGUAUGAAAUCAGACAUAAUGAGCAAGCUAAGAAAUAGAUUAAAAAAUAGACUAAUGAUCUACUCUCAUAAAUAAUGCAAACAAUUGUUUUUGCAACUCUUGGAAACUUUAUCUUGCACUAUUGAGAAGUUUGAACCUGUUCACAUUACUUUAUGCAGGUGAUCUUUCCACCAGCUGUUUUUCAUAAUUGCAUGUGGUUGGUUCUUUGUUUAUAAACGUCUAAUUGAGGUUAUAUUGAUGAAAUUGGGGCUAGAUUCUAAAAGGAUAUUGCAGAUAUCCAUGAUUGAUCAGCUUGGAUUUGUUGCUUUAAUUGUUGUUGAUGGUAGUAAAUAUAACCAUUCUGUUACAGAAUCUCUUUCAAUUUACCUGAUUUAUUUCCCUACAAGCUUCCUUGGCGUGCAGUUCAGAAGGAAGCACCGAUGAGAGUGAGCAGGGAAGAGCUGGAAUGGCAGUCUUUGGCUACAAGUCAAUCAGACUCUCGUCCAGAGCAUUUUCUAGAGUGGUAUCAAACUCAAUGGUUUAAAUAGUGUUCCUUCUAGACUUUGGUUUAUCUGGCUUUCAUUUUGGCACCUGAUUUCAUUAGUUCCAUUUGAGCGCUGAUGUUCAGUUCCUCUGCUCUUUAAUGUUUGCUUUUGGGGUCACAUUUCCCUUCUCUCUGGUUCAAAUAUUAUCCAGAGAAGCUAUGUUAUGAAAAUUUGGGGCUGUCUAGACGACGUUAUGCAUGUUCAUAUGAAAUGUGGCGUUUCUUUGCUAUCCUCACAAUUCCAAGUACAACGAAAGUCCUUUCAGCCAACUGAUAACUGAUCAACUUUUUGUUGCCUUGUCAUCUGACAUAUCCUUGCCAGCUGGAGUACAGUUGCUAUAAGCUGUAUUUAUUUGCAGAUGAUGCACGCUGUGUAGGAGGCGUGAAUUCAAAAUUUUCUUCUAUCUUGUUUGUAGCCUUUGUGGAAUAUUUGUCGACAUAUCUUUUCCUUGUGUUGUACCCAAGAACGCAUGGCAUGCAGAUCAUAUCAUAUCUACACAUGGCAUGCAGAUCAUAUCAUAUCUAUGGUGGACUGCCAGAUUGGUUUUAUUAUAGCUUGGCAGAUUUCAUCCGAGCCUGGGUUUAUGGAUACAAAAUGACUCACCAGUCGGUCAAUGAAAAGCUCAUGCUACCUAGGACACCAAGUAUGGUUCUGACACGCAAGUUCAAGGAAUCUCUCUCUCUGACUUCACACUUCCAAGUGCAGUUGAAUCAAUCAUUGUUUGACAGACCAAAGGACCUUAUAAAUACAAGGUGACGAGAGGCAUAUUUGCUAGAAGUAACUGGUUAUGGAUAUUACAGACAGCUCAAGAUGUCCUGUGUUGGCCAUCCAACUUCUGCAAUGGAAUGCAAAAUGAACUUUGUGGAUUGCACGAACCACUUAUUUUGUCUGCUGUCUUUUAAGAGUAAUUUUUACGUUACCCUAUUAUUUAUCCAGUAAGCUAUGUGCCGGCAGAUACCUUGUUUUGAAAUAAGCAAUUAUUUUUAACUAUAUGUUCAUUGAUGAAGGGAUCGAUAACCCCUAA
Olea europaea var. sylvestris is the source of this 3162-nucleotide long non-coding RNA. RefSeq lists it as uncharacterized. The transcript is spliced from 2 exons. Lineage: Eukaryota; Viridiplantae; Streptophyta; Magnoliopsida; Lamiales; Oleaceae. The record is from RefSeq and is a predicted model, not a curated record.